RNAcentral lists this ribosomal RNA (211 nucleotides) under Clostridium cadaveris. RNAcentral's name for it is "partial 16S ribosomal RNA". It matches the Rfam family "Bacterial small subunit ribosomal RNA", at positions 1331 to 1533 of the family's 1533-position model. Lineage: Bacteria; Bacillati; Bacillota; Clostridia; Eubacteriales; Clostridiaceae. The record is from RNAcentral.
GUUACUAGUAAUCGCGAAUCAGAAUGUCGCGGUGAAUACGUUCCCGGGCCUUGUACACACCGCCCGUCACACCAUGAGAGUUGGCAAUACCCAAAGUCCGUGAGGUAACCGAAAGGAGCCAGCGGCCUAAGGUAGGGUCAGCGAUUGGGGUGAAGUCGUAACAAGGUAGCCGUAGGAGAACCUGCGGCUGGAUCACCUCCUUUCUAAGGAA